This 274-nucleotide ribosomal RNA is filed under the name uncultured bacterium. RNAcentral describes it as "partial 16S ribosomal RNA". It matches the Rfam family "Bacterial small subunit ribosomal RNA", at positions 523 to 796 of the family's 1533-position model. The record is from RNAcentral.
CUACGGAGGGUGCAAGCGUUACUCGGAAUCACUGGGCGUAAAGCGCGCGCAGGCGGCUAUUUAAGUUGGAUGUGAAAGCCUACGGCUCAACCGUAGAACUGCAUCCAAAACUAUUUAGCUAGAGUGUGAGAGAGGAAGAUGGAAUUAGUUGUGUAGGGGUAAAAUCCGUAGAGAUAACUAGGAAUACCAAAAGCGAAGGCAAUCUUCUGGAACACUACUGACGCUGAGGCGCGAAAGCGUGGGGAGCAAACAGAAUUAGAAACCCCAGUAGUCC